This 694-nucleotide ribosomal RNA is filed under the name uncultured bacterium. RNAcentral's name for it is "bacterial SSU rRNA". It matches the Rfam family "Bacterial small subunit ribosomal RNA", at positions 141 to 851 of the family's 1533-position model. The record is from RNAcentral.
GGAUAACGUUUGGAAACGAACGCUAAUACCGCAUGAUAUUAUUGGGCAGCAUUGCCUGAUAAUCAAAGGAGCAAUCCGCUGAAAGAUGGGCUCGCGUCCGAUUAGGUAGUUGGCGGGGUAACGGCCCACCAAGCCGACGAUCGGUAGCCGGACUGAGAGGUUGAACGGCCACAUUGGGACUGAGACACGGCCCAGACUCCUACGGGAGGCAGCAGUGAGGGAUAUUGGUCAAUGGGGGAAACCCUGAACCAGCAACGCCGCGUGAGGGAAGACGGUUUUCGGAUUGUAAACCUCUGUCCUCUGUGAAGAUGAUGACGGUAGCAGAGGAGGAAGCUCCGGCUAACUACGUGCCAGCAGCCGCGGUAAUACGUAGGGAGCAAGCGUUGUCCGGAUUUACUGGGUGUAAAGGGUGCGUAGGCGGCUUUGCAAGUCAGAAGUGAAAUCUAUGGGCUUAACCCAUAAACUGCUUUUGAAACUGCAGGGCUUGAGUGAAGUAGAGGUAGGCGGAAUUCCCGGUGUAGCGGUGAAAUGCGUAGAGAUCGGGAGGAACACCAGUGGCGAAGGCGGCCUACUGGGCUUUAACUGACGCUGAGGCACGAAAGCGUGGGUAGCAAACAGGAUUAGAUACCCUGGUAGUCCACGCUGUAAACGAUGAUUAAUGGGUGUGGGUGGACUGACCCCAUCCGUGCCGGAG